Molecule: ribosomal RNA, 424 nt
Filed under: uncultured Nitrosospira sp.
Lineage: Bacteria; Pseudomonadati; Pseudomonadota; Betaproteobacteria; Nitrosomonadales; Nitrosomonadaceae
Description: bacterial SSU rRNA
Rfam family: Bacterial small subunit ribosomal RNA
Source: RNAcentral
CAAGACCUUGCGCUCCUGGAGCGGCCGAUUUCUGAUUAGCUAGUUGGUGAGGUAAAGGCUUACCAAGGCGACGAUCAGUAGCUGGUCUGAGAGGACGACCAGCCACACUGGGACUGAGACACGGCCCAGACUCCUACGGGAGGCAGCAGUGGGGAGUUUUGGACAAUGGGGGAAACCCUGAUUCAGCCAUGCCGCGUGAGUGAAGAAGGCCUUCGGGUUGUAAAGCUCUUUCAGCAGGAACGAAACGGUCAAGGCUAAUACCCGUGACUAAUGACGGUACCGGAAGAAGAAGCACCGGCUAACUACGUGCCAGCAGCCGCGGUAAUACGUAGGGUGCGAGAGUUAAUCGGAAUUACUGGGCGUAACGCGUGCGCAGGCGGUUUUGUAAGUCAGAUGUGAAAUCCCCGGGCUUAACCAGGGAACU